This 555-nucleotide ribosomal RNA is filed under the name uncultured bacterium. RNAcentral's name for it is "partial 16S ribosomal RNA". It matches the Rfam family "Bacterial small subunit ribosomal RNA", at positions 355 to 924 of the family's 1533-position model. The record is from RNAcentral.
UGGGGAAUAUUGCACAAUGGGCGAAAGCCUGAUGCAGCAACGCCGCGUGAGUGAUGAAGGUCUUCGGAUUGUAAAGCUCUGUCUUUUGGGACGAUAAUGACGGUACCAAAGGAGGAAGCCACGGCUAACUACGUGCCAGCAGCCGCGGUAAUACGUAGGUGGCGAGCGUUGUCCGGAUUUACUGGGCGUAAAGGGUGCGUAGGCGGAUGUUUAAGUGAGGUGUGAAAUACCCGGGCUUAACUUGGGUGCUGCAUUUCAAACUGGAUAUCUAGAGUGCAGGAGAGGAGAAUGGAAUUCCUAGUGUAGCGGUGAAAUGCGUAGAGAUUAGGAAGAACACCAGUGGCGAAGGCGAUUCUCUGGACUGUAACUGACGCCGAGGCACGAAAGCGUGGGUAGCAAACAGGAUUAGAUACCCUGGUAGUCCACGCCGUAAACGAUGAGUACUAGGUGUAGGAGGUAUCGACCCCUUCUGUGCCGCAGUAAACACAUUAAGUACUCCGCCUGGGAAGUACGAUCGCAAGAUUAAAACUCUAAAGUGAAUUGACGGGGGUCAUA